AACGAACGCUGGCGGCAUGCCUAACACAUGCAAGUCGAACGAGACCUUCGGGUCUAGUGGCGCACGGGUGCGUAACGCGUGGGAACCUGCCCUUAGGUUCGGAAUAACUCCCCGAAAGGGGUGCUAAUACCGGAUAAUGUCUUCGGACCAAAGAUUUAUCGCCUUUGGAUGGGCCCGCGUUGGAUUAGCUAGUUGGUAGGGUAAAAGCCUACCAAGGCGACGAUCCAUAGCUGGUCUGAGAGGAUGAUCAGCCACACUGGGACUGAGACACGGCCCAGACUCCGACGGGAGGCAGCAGUGGGGAAUAAUGGACAAUGGGCGAAAGCCUGAUCCAGCAAGGCCGCGUGAGUGAUGAAGGCCUUAGGGUUGUAAAGCUCUUUUACCCGGGAUGAUAAUGACAGUACCGGGAGAAUAAGCUCCGGCUAACUCCGU
Molecule: ribosomal RNA, 432 nt
Filed under: uncultured bacterium
Lineage: Bacteria
Description: partial 16S ribosomal RNA
Rfam family: Bacterial small subunit ribosomal RNA
Source: RNAcentral